GACGAACGCUGGCGGCGUGCUUAACACAUGCAAGUCGAACGGAAAGGCCCUGCUUUUGUGGGGUGCUCGAGUGGCGAACGGGUGAGUAACACGUGAGUAACCUGCCCUUGACUUUGGGAUAACUUCAGGAAACUGGGGCUAAUACCGGAUAGGAGCUCCUGCUGCAUGGUGGGGGUUGGAAAGUUUCGGCGGUUGGGGAUGGACUCGCGGCUUAUCAGCUUGUUGGUGGGGUAGUGGCUUACCAAGGCUUUGACGGGUAGCCGGCCUGAGAGGGUGACCGGGAACCAUGGAACUGAGAAGGGGGCCAGAGUCCUAAGGGAGGCAGCAGUGGGGAACAGUGGACAAUGGGCGGACGCGUGAGGCAGCCAGGCCGCGUGUGUGAAGAAGGUCUUCGGAUUGGAAAGAGCGUUAAGGUGGGAGGAAGGGAAGUAAGUUAAUACCUUGCUGGUGUGACGUUACCAACAGAAUAAGCAACGGCUAACUUCGGG
Molecule: ribosomal RNA, 488 nt
Filed under: uncultured bacterium
Lineage: Bacteria
Description: partial 16S ribosomal RNA
Rfam family: Bacterial small subunit ribosomal RNA
Source: RNAcentral